This 425-nucleotide long non-coding RNA is filed under the name Equus asinus (donkey). RNAcentral describes it as "lncRNA (ENSEASG00005036760.1)". Lineage: Eukaryota; Metazoa; Chordata; Mammalia; Perissodactyla; Equidae. The record is from RNAcentral.
GCAAGGGCUACCAUCUGCAAGCCAGGAAGACAGCGCUCACCAGGAUCCAAAUCAGCCAGCACCUUGAUCUUGGACUUCCUAGCCUCCAGAACGCUACAGAAACAUCUGGGCUCAGGCAGCUGCCGGAUUGCUCUUUCAACCAUCGCACCACACAUUUACAGUUUUGUACCAAAUGGACAUCCACUUUCAAGUGAAGUCGGAGCAGGCACACAAUGUCUUUGGCCAGUACUGCCAGCAUGGUGUUCUGCUCCUGGAGAUGUUGCCAUCGAUUUAUUAAGCUUCCCUCCUAAUAUGGGAUCUACUUAUUUUACGUGGCCACUACCCCACCUUCUGAGAACGACCCAUAGUUUCUCUCGGAGGACUUGUCUUCACUGCUCCAGCUCCCAUCACCACCCCUCCAAUCCAUGUUAUGGACUGAAGGUUUG